UUUACCCCAUAUAGCAACCCCAAGAAGCAAAACAGUGGAUGCCUGAAGCAUAAAGGACAAUGAUGAGCCUUGCUGAAUGCUUUCCCCUCAGAAACAGCCACAGCCACAGACAGGGAUCAAUGAAGCUUGAGAUGAGAAGGUGACUGCAAUGAAAGAGAAUGGUCUGAAGAUUCCUGCGAGCCCCUGACCCGUCCUGGAUCCCUGCUUGCACGCCUGUUCCUGACUUCACCUGACUCCCUGCCCUGCACCCAGCUUCAGCUACUACGGACUGCCUCCAUGUUGCACCUUUGACCACGGACCGGACUUGGACCUCACCUCUCGGGUAACCCAUGGGACCAGCACAUCUCUCUUCCUUUCUCCUCAAAAUACACACUGUUUUGUUCAGCUUUCUCACUAAAGUGUUAUCAAGACUUUUCUCUUUUCACUCAAAUCUGCAUUGACAUCAAGGCCUUGGAAAGGACCCAGCUAAAGAAACCAUGACAGAAUCUCUAAGACUAGAUCCCACAGCAACUAAUCUCACCUUUACACUCUACUCUGUGCUGUUCAACCCAUGCAUUGCUGCUGUUGUAGGGACUGGAUGAUAGAAGGGGAAGGAUCUCUUGCCAGCCCUUGGCUAGGGUCCUACAAGUCUUAGUAUGCACCAGCCAUUUCUUACAGUAAGAAGAGGCAUAGGUAUCUCCUGGGAAUGGUCAAUCCUGACUGGAGCACAGAUGUUAUCAGGUCUGUCGACCAGUCUGGAAAUUCCUUCCUGUUCUUCAGAAUUUAAGGAUGAAACGUGAUCUGACAUUAAUUGGAUGUGUGCAAUUAAUGUGCACACUUUUUGUUAUGUAAACAACAGCUGAGGCGAAUCCUUAGCAUCCUCCAGACCAGUGGAAAAGAAGGGAAGCAUUACUCUUUUGUAUUUUUUGGGUAAAGAGCAAGAAAAGGAAUACUGUACCCAAAAAAGCUGAGUCCAAAGAUCGUGUCUUCAGCAGGCUGAGGCUAGCAGUCUUUCUAAUCUCAACUAUUAGUGACUUCCCAUGGUAUUAAAAUUCAAGGAGGGUAACCAUUAAAAUAAAGAUGUUUUCUUGCCAGCACUAUAUAGAUGUUUGGAAAAGAAGGAAUGCCUAUUUAAUUACUCAACAAAUGAUGUUCUUUUGGUUACUCAGCAUAAGGAACGGCUGGACGUAAUAGACUUUGGGCUUUAAUGGUGUUUAAAAUUGCUUUUCCAAAUCACCUUAUAAAGUAUAGGUUCAUU
Molecule: non-coding RNA, 1237 nt
Organism: Podarcis muralis (Common wall lizard)
Lineage: Eukaryota; Metazoa; Chordata; Lepidosauria; Squamata; Lacertidae
Source: RefSeq, a predicted model, not a curated record